CCUACGGGAGGCAGCAGUGAGGAAUAUUGGUCAAUGGACGCAAGUCUGAACCAGCCAUGCCGCGUGCAGGAAGACGGCUCUAUGAGUUGUAAACUGCUUUUGUACGAGGGUAAACGCAGAUACGCGUAUCUGUCUGAAAGUAUCGUACGAAUAAGGAUCGGCUAACUCCGUGCCAGCAGCCGCGGUAAUACGGAGGAUUCAAGCGUUAUCCGGAUUUAUUGGGUUUAAAGGGUGCGUAGGCGGUCGGAUAAGUUAGAGGUGAAAUCCCGAGGCUCAACUUCGGAAUGGCCUCUGAAACUGUUCGGCUAGAGAGUAGUUGCGGUAGGCGGAAUGUAUGGUGUAGUGGUGAAAUGCUUAGAGAUCAUACAGAACACCGAUUGCGAAGGCAGCUUACCAAGCUACUUCUGACGUUGAGGCACGAAAGCGUGGGUAGCAAACAGGAUUAGAUACCCGAGUAGUC
This 460-nucleotide ribosomal RNA is filed under the name uncultured bacterium. RNAcentral's name for it is "partial 16S ribosomal RNA". It matches the Rfam family "Bacterial small subunit ribosomal RNA", at positions 338 to 795 of the family's 1533-position model. The record is from RNAcentral.